This 862-nucleotide ribosomal RNA is filed under the name Ramichloridium endophyticum. Its description in RNAcentral is "Ramichloridium sp. HZ-2019 partial large subunit ribosomal RNA". It matches the Rfam family "Eukaryotic large subunit ribosomal RNA", at positions 50 to 947 of the family's 3401-position model. The record is from RNAcentral. Lineage: Eukaryota; Fungi; Ascomycota; Dothideomycetes; Mycosphaerellales; Dissoconiaceae.
GCGGAGGAAAAGAAACCAACAGGGAAUUGCCCCAGUAACGGCGAGUGAAGCGGCAACAGCUCAAAUUUGAAAUCUGGCGCAAGCCCGAAUUGUAAUUUGUAGAGGAUGCUUCUGGGUAGCGGCCGGUCUAAGUUCCUUGGAACAGGACGUCACAGAGGGUGAGAAUCCCGUAUGUGAUCGGCCCGCGCCCUCUACGUAGCUCCUUCGACGAGUCGAGUUGUUUGGGAAUGCAGCUCUAAAUGGGAGGUAAAUUUCUUCUAAAGCUAAAUACCGGCCAGAGACCGAUAGCGCACAAGUAGAGUGAUCGAAAGAUGAAAAGCACUUUGGAAAGAGAGUUAAACAGCACGUGAAAUUGUUGAAAGGGAAGCGCUUGCAACCAGACUUGUCCGCGGUGUUCCGCCGGUCUUCUGACCGGUCUACUCGCCGCGGGCAGGCCAUCAUCGUCUGGGGCCGCCGGAGAAACCGUCAGGAAUGUAGCUCCCUCGGGAGUGUUAUAGCCUGGCGACAUGCGGCGCGCCCCGGGCGAGGUCCGCGCACUGCAAGGAUGAUGGCGUAAUGGUUGUCAGCGGCCCGUCUUGAAACACGGACCAAGGAGUCUAACAUCUAUGCGAGUGUUCGGGUGUCAAACCCCUACGCGUAAUGAAAGUGAACGGAGGUGGGAGCUUCGGCGCACCAUCGACCGAUCCUGAUGUCCUCGGAUGGAUUUGAGUAAGAGCAUAGCUGUUGGGACCCGAAAGAUGGUGAACUAUGCCUGAAUAGGGUGAAGCCAGAGGAAACUCUGGUGGAGGCUCGCAGCGGUUCUGACGUGCAAAUCGAUCGUCAAAUUUGGGUAUAGGGGCGAAAGACUAAUCGAACCAUCUAG